CUGGUGUCACCUGGGUCACCUGCAUGACAAACUGAGCCAUCACACCCCACCAGAGCAGAAAGCACGACUUCUCUGCCCCGUGGAGGCUGGUCCUAGCCUUGAAACUUCCUUGACAGACACAACAUGAGGCUUCAAGCACGGGCUUCUCCUAGGUUUAUAUGGCUCUGCUCAGCCUCCUGAGCCACUGAGGGAGAAUGAACGCCUGCAUCCCACAGAAAGAGGCCAGUGGAUUAUAGCUGGGCCUAACCAAAGUCCAAAUGAAGAAGCAAAGCCCCUCUUGUCACCCUGCAACCCUGUGAGCAAGGCAUUGUCACUGAGGGCCCAGGGGCUGUUUGUUACACAGCGUUCUCCAAGCAAGAGCUGACUGACGUUCCUUUGUUCCUUUUCUAGGGGAGCAUGGGGCCUUAGGACCUGCUGUGUCACCAGACGGCACCCACAAGAGCAGACUAUGCAUCCAAAAUACACUGAGGUGCCAUUACGGGAAGGAAGAGGGGUGCAUGCGGAGGGCUGGAGCUGACAGCCGGCUCACAGAUGGGGCUGGGGGCUGCAAGAAAUGGAACAUACUUUCUACUUUUUGGCUGUCACCCCACAGGCAAGUUUGAAACCCAAAGGGCAAAUGGCUUAGCUGAUUUAUAGAGCCUAAUUUGGAUCCGUUGCCCCAAAUUGAAUUUUGAAUACAAUUUCACAUCAAUUAACUUUGCACAGAGCCUUACAGAUGGCAGGGAAGGACUCUCUAAAGCAAAGGCCAGUGGCUACGAUGGAGGAGCUGAUGUGCCAUCCCGGAGCCCACCGAUGCUCAUAGCACCACUCAGGGCUCUGACCCGGGCGGGUUGGAAGGAUGAGAGCUAAGGGGUG
RNAcentral lists this long non-coding RNA (855 nucleotides) under Homo sapiens (human). Its description in RNAcentral is "HSALNT0197805". Lineage: Eukaryota; Metazoa; Chordata; Mammalia; Primates; Hominidae. The record is from RNAcentral.